Polypterus senegalus (gray bichir) is the source of this 2438-nucleotide long non-coding RNA. RefSeq lists it as uncharacterized. The record is from RefSeq and is a predicted model, not a curated record. NCBI's taxonomy places the organism in Eukaryota, Metazoa, Chordata, Cladistia, Polypteriformes, Polypteridae. The transcript is spliced from 3 exons.
GCCUGAGUUGCCUGAAAAGCUUGCAUAGUGUAAUCUCUGUUCAGUUAGCCAAUAAAAGGGGUCAUUUUGCGUGACUUCUCGGUACAACUAUAAUGUCUAACACGGUACAACACCCUAGUGCUACAGACAUAAUUUGCCAACUGUAAUAAAUGUAUUAAUGCUUUUGUAGUCAAUUGAGCCGAAGGGCAAUCUCAUCUCUUUGCUGUUUACCUGUGCCUAGUGUGUUGUAGAAAACGUCGGAGUUUAAAGUAGCGCCAGGUUAAAUGUUUCCAUCAGAGUCUCACAGGAUGAGUGAUCAUACCUUCACGUUUGUAGUCCAAUACCUAAGCCACCGGAAGUGUAAUUUAUCAAUUACACUUUCAUCUAAAUUCUAAUUCUAUAAAAAAUAUUUACUGUCCAAACACGCUGCAGCCAUGCCACUCACAAACCUAGUAUCAACAUUCUAUUAUUUUAUAAGUGAUGAUUAUACAAACAUGUUUUAGGUAUAACAUAAAACACACAGUCGAACAAAACUCAAGUACACCAGAGUGGCGUGCUUGUAAAAUUUUAAAUAAAUAGCAAGGAUGAGUAUAGGAAGAACAAAACUAACACAAACUCCUAAACAAAGCCUUGUCUCAGACUAAUAAAUUAGAAAGUGCGGUUUCCUUACUUUGUUUCCACUCCCAGACUUCAAAAAUCAAGGCCCUAUUACUCACCCUAACCUCUGUCUUCAAAUCUGUCUGGCAUCUCCACCUUCCUGGCAGUGGAGCAGUUGCUUCUACAAAAUCCACGGGGCUCCCAGGCAUGGGCGUCAUACUGGGUAGUUGAAAGGGUUAAUGAUUACCCAGAGCCCACUGGGGUGGGAAGGGGGGCCCUCCUAUGAAAAGUUUAUUUUCAAGAGGAAGGGGCCUACAGAGUCUGCUUAUGUUUAGGGCCCAGAUCAUAGUGCCUCUUGGUGUCCCCUGAAACCAUAAAAUAGAAAUGGGCCCUUAAAUACGCAUGGGCCACCUUGAUGUUUCUGCUGGUUUAGCUGGGCCUUGUUAGGUUUCUUUUCUUGCCUUAUUUUUGCAGCUUUGUUUGCUGUGGUUGUGUUUCUGGGGCUCCCCCGAGAGUUUUGGGGGUUACCAGUUCUGACUAAACACAUUAACACUGAUCAGUAGUGAAGGUUCCUUGUAAUUCAUAAGUCCUCUGUUGGGCCCUUUUACUGUACUGUAACUCUGCCUGUGAUGUGUUGUUUUCGACCCUGGCAACCUUACAUUUUAUAUAACGUGUACUGUAUGUGUUUAUAUAAAACUUGACACCCUGAUGUAAUAUAAGAGAGUAAACCAUUUAAAUUCAUUAAGUUCAUUUUUUACCUUUGGCACCAACUGGGACGGGCAUUGCCCAAGAUUAGCACAACAGUCUGCAAUCUUGAUUGUUUUAAUUAUAAUGUUAAAAAAGGGCUGCCCCCUUGAAUUCAAACAAGUCUUUCCACUUGUGACUGUUUUGAUUACUCACAAAGGCUCGUAGGUUUAAUUAACCACACCUGAAUACUUGCACUUUGUGUGGCCAAAUAAAAUACAAGUUAAAAAGAAAGAAAGUGAAACGUAAAGAACCGCAAUGUGUGUGAGGUUCAGGGUGAGUCCAGACACAUCAACCGAGCUUAUGGUUAAGGAAGAAGAUAAAAGAAAAAAAAAACCAAAACAGUCUAUAAAUAUCGCAGUUCACAAUAAACAUUACAGGUCAUUGUCAAUAUCCACAUUCCUGAGGCCUGGAAUCUCAACUCGGACUGGCACCAUAUGACGGAGAAUACAAAGGGAGCCAAAUCCGUGAAAUCUACCGAAGGUUUGUGCCUGCUGUCCACAUCACGAGAGACGGGUUUGAGAUGUUUAUGGAGGACAUCUGGUGUGUACGGUUUAUGCUUUAAAUUACAAACAAAACAAAAGUGGCACGAUGGUCUGUGCUGCUUCCUAACAUCACAUUCAAAUCCCAGCCUGAUCUCUUUCUUCCUUCAUACACCCAUGGAAUUUUCCCAGGAAUCGCAUUUCCUCCCACGUGCCAAAGAUGUGCAUGUUAGCCAAGGUGGCAGUUCUUCAUUGGUUUGGAAAUUGUGAAGGCCUGAAGAAAGGCAGAGUCUAUCCUGGCAGCAUCAAGUACAAGGUAGGAUGCAACCCGGGUUGGCUUGCCAGUCAGUUACUGGGCACACUCCGACACACAGUGACAAUUCCAUUGAGACGCGGCGUGUCUUUGGGAUGUGGGAGAAAACCGACAGGAAUACAAAGAGGAUACACCACCUCCGUCUUGCUGUGUGAAUCUACUGAAAUACGUGUAUACAUCUGCCAACGUGUUUUAUUUUAGAACUGAGAGGUGCAUUUAAUCUGGUGUAGACAUGUCCGAUGUAUGGAAGUCCAGUUUUGGAGUAAAACAAACACAUUGACACGCACAUGUGCAUGGCAGGCAGCUAAAGGGCUCAAAAGAAG